UCAUGAGUUGACUCAUGCCUUGUGGGUCGACUCAUGAGUCGACUCACAGGUCGUGCCAAGCCAGAAAACUAGCGUGCCAAGGAGAAUUUUUGCAUGCCAAUCAGCUCACAGUGCCAUGAGUUGACUCAUGAGUCGACUCAUGCACUUAAAACCUUCAUAACUUCAAAAAUAUAAGUCCAAAAAUAAUAAAAUUUUCACCAAUAGUUUUCAA
RNAcentral lists this long non-coding RNA (211 nucleotides) under Elaeis guineensis (African oil palm). Its description in RNAcentral is "long non-coding RNA (EGUI_LNC047004)". Lineage: Eukaryota; Viridiplantae; Streptophyta; Magnoliopsida; Arecales; Arecaceae. The record is from RNAcentral.